UACGUAGGGUGCAAGCGUUGUCCGGAAUUAUUGGGCGUAAAGAGCUCGUAGGUGGCUCGGUAAGUCGGGUGUGAAAUUUCGAGGCUCAACCUCGAGACGCCAACUGAUACUGCUGUGGCUAGAGUCCGGUAGGGGAGCGUGGAAUUCCUGGUGUAGCGGUGAAAUGCGCAGAUAUCAGGAGGAACACCAGCGGCGAAGGCGGCGCUCUGGGCCGGUACUGACACUGAGGAGCGAAAGCGUGGGGAUCAAACAGG
RNAcentral lists this ribosomal RNA (254 nucleotides) under uncultured bacterium. Its description in RNAcentral is "partial 16S ribosomal RNA". It matches the Rfam family "Bacterial small subunit ribosomal RNA", at positions 524 to 776 of the family's 1533-position model. The record is from RNAcentral.